CCUUAGCGCGGUGGUCCCACCUGACCCCAUGCCGAACUCAGAAGUGAAACGCCGUAGCGCCGAUGGUAGUGUGGGGUCUCCCCAUGCGAGAGUAGGGAACUGCCA
This 105-nucleotide ribosomal RNA is filed under the name Escherichia coli. The record is from RNAcentral. Lineage: Bacteria; Pseudomonadati; Pseudomonadota; Gammaproteobacteria; Enterobacterales; Enterobacteriaceae.